CAAGUUCCUUUUGGAUUAAUAGGGAAACCAGUGAGAUUCUGGUACGAUCCCGUCACUGUAAAAAGGGAGUCCGGAGACAUAUAUGUCACUGGCCGGGUGGUGGCCCGGCCGGGAAGGCGUCUUCGCGAUAAUGAUCUUUAAGUCAGGAGACCUGCUUGCUAAUG
RNAcentral lists this non-coding RNA (164 nucleotides) under uncultured Anaerobutyricum sp. Lineage: Bacteria; Bacillati; Bacillota; Clostridia; Lachnospirales; Lachnospiraceae. The record is from RNAcentral.